This is a long non-coding RNA of Ctenopharyngodon idella (grass carp), 1279 nucleotides long. RefSeq lists it as uncharacterized. NCBI's taxonomy places the organism in Eukaryota, Metazoa, Chordata, Actinopteri, Cypriniformes, Xenocyprididae. The transcript is spliced from 3 exons. The record is from RefSeq and is a predicted model, not a curated record.
UUGGUGUUUUCAUGGCGUUGAAGAAGAGGGCUGGUCGAGUGUCAGAAUAAAAACCAUCUACUUCCUCUUCCUCAUCACUCCUGCUUCACUGCAGACUCACACAGCAUCUCUGAACCUCCUGACUUGAGCAACAGAUAAAAUGGUUUUCACUGUGCAUUUGAGGGUCCUUCUCCUCGGGAUUGUUUUGCUUUCCUGUAUUCAGAGUGUGGUGAAUCUAGAUGUGGACAUUAACACCCUUUCCAGGAUUCAAAAAUUUGUUCAUUUCAAUUAUUUUAGCGGCGGCCAGUUUGCAGUAGCCAUCAAUGUCCCACAGCGGCAGUGUCAAAGAGGAUUCAACCCCCGAAACAGACCCUUUCUGAUAAAUGACCUAUCAGAAACAGUUAAACUUCACACAGUACCUAACGUGGAUGUCUACAUAGGCACUGAAGUCAUUGCUGCAGGGGUUCAUACAAAUGCACAUUCAGAGCCUUUACUGAUGAAUCCUACAAAUCAUUCUCCUUUGACAGACUUGAUGAAUACAAACAGAGAUGGAUGUGUGGUUUUCUACACCUUAAAUAGUCCCUGUACACAGUUUUGUCUCAAUAACAAUAAUGGUAACAAUAUUUUACCAAGUCUUGAAGAAUUAAAUAGAUAUCAGGGAAUUAAAGCGUUUGUUUUCAAUAAUAUCUACAGUAAUGACCGAAAUUCACCAUAUCUUAGAAAUAGACUACAGCAGAUUGCUGAUCGUGUACCACUUUACCGUUGUAACCGUGACGGUUGUAUCCUUUGUGGACGACCAGGUUCAAACAUACCACUGAAUAACCAAUGUUUAAUUUGAAUUAAACUAGGUCUCACUUGCUCACGCAUGUUGAGUUUCUUGUUUGACAGCGAUGCUUUAAAUGAACCGAUGAGCUAGUUAUCUGCUGAGACUUUUACUUCAAUGCUUAAAUAGACUUUCACAUGCAGCUUUUUCUUUACAAAUUAGUAAACUAUGGCAGGGGAGAGUAAAUGUUUACUUUUCAUUUAAAGAAAUUAUUGCUUUAUGAGUGAUUGUAAUCAUAUAUAGAGACACAACUGGACAUUUGAAAGCCUUGAUAAAGGAAAAAAAUACUAGUAAAUUAAAUCUUUUAUAUUCAGAAACAUCUGGCAUUAUGGCCAGAUAGGUUUAAUGCUGUGUGAACCACAAUGUUUUUUUGUUUUUGUUUUUUUUUUAUUAUUAAAAUGCUUGUUUGUUUAUGCUUAUGCAUUUUUAAUAGUUUCAUAAACACUGCUGGGGAAAUAAAUAAAUUUCUAUGCACCA